AGAGUCCUAGGGUGUUCGUUAGAACCCUAUAUGUUUUGAGCCAACACUAAUAAGUAAGGGAGCCUGAUUCAAAGUUUUCAUUUGGCGUGCAAGCCUCCAUCGUGAAGAGGACGUACAAAGAAUGAAACAGGGCACCCACCUGCGAGAGCAGGUUCAAAACAAAGGAGAAACGACGGCACAGUUGGGACUCUU
Molecule: non-coding RNA, 192 nt
Filed under: Pueribacillus theae
Lineage: Bacteria; Bacillati; Bacillota; Bacilli; Caryophanales; Bacillaceae
Description: 6S / SsrS RNA
Rfam family: 6S / SsrS RNA
About the family: E. coli 6S RNA was the first non coding RNA to be sequenced, but its function was unknown until recently. It consists of 184 nucleotides that fold into an extended hairpin structure with a large single-stranded internal bulge.
Source: Rfam by way of RNAcentral